Misgurnus anguillicaudatus (oriental weatherfish) is the source of this 2104-nucleotide non-coding RNA. Lineage: Eukaryota; Metazoa; Chordata; Actinopteri; Cypriniformes; Cobitidae. The record is from RefSeq and is a predicted model, not a curated record.
UGUUCAUAUUAUGUUAUUUAUGAUUCGUUUUUGUCUUUAUACUAGAACUUUUGAAUUUAAAACACAAACAGUAAAACAUUAAGGGUAUACAUGGUACACAGCGGUAAACAUGAGGUUAAAAAUACGCGAAGUAACAUUCAAACCGGGCUGUUAAAAGAAUCAAUUCGAUGUUUAAGUUUUUUAAAAACAAAACUUUAAAGAAGCCAAGAUGAGACGUUCUUUGCUUAAAACAAACAAAACAGUAACUUGUGUGUUGGAAAUGUUAGCAGCUAGCAAGUGUGUCUCUGCUAUUUUAAAUGAUACACAGACGAUCUUUUGUUGUUUAAAAGCUCAUUGCUUUAGUUCGGGUAGAUGCUGCUUAUUUUUCAAGACGGUUUUAAUAGCUUUAUAUUGAUUUGUAACAAAGCCAGCUUCACUUUGAGAGAACCUAGAUGCUAAUUGUAAAGAAGCUUGGAUUCAUAAUAUAUUUUAACGUAAUAUGUUUGCUGUUCUUCAUCUUUUUAAAUAUGAAGUCUAUCCAUGUUUGUGUUUACAGAGGUCAUGUACACUGUGGUCAGCUUUGUGGACGCUGAAGAGGUUUCUGGGUAAAGAUGAUAGAAAUAUAAUGAAGUAACAGUGAAAGCUAAAACAUCAGACUGAUCCAGACACUGAAGAAAUUUAUGUCACUGCAAUCUGGCCAAAAUGAUACAACUAUAUUGAAGUAGCCUACUGUAAUGAAGCUGCAGAACGUCACAGAGACUCUGAGGACAUCAACACAGAAAAUCUAGGCUCCAAAGAGAUGUCUGUCCAGAUGAGGGUGCAUCAACGUUACCUUUGCUGACAAGUACAUGCUUUUAGCAGUUAACUUAACUCAAACCAUUUAAGGAAAUCGGUUGCCUUAAACCUUUAAGUUUAAAAAAAAACAUACAUUUGAGUACUGUGAACUUAAGUCUUGUGCAAUUAUGCACUUAUAUUUAGGUAGUGUGAACUUAAACAAAUUGAGUCACAUGCAGUUAAGCAUUUAUAUUUAAGUUCACAGUACUCAAAUCUAUGCGUUUUAAAACUUGAAUGGUUUAAUGCAACCGGUUUUCUUAAAUGUGAGAAAUUACAGUGUUACAGUGAGAAAUGUUUGAAUAAUUCCAAGACAGAGCUCUGUGAUUAAUUCUACACUGCAAAAAAAUCACUUUCUAACACUUUUUAUCUUGUUUUCAGUAGAAAAACUAAAAAUUCUUAAAUCAAGAUGUAUUUUCUUGAUGAGCAAAAUUACCUUAGAAAAUAUGUCUAGUUUUUAGACAAAAAUAUACAAUUGAAGAUAAUUUGUGCCUAAACAAGAAAAAAUAUCUAACAAUGGGGUGAGAAAAUUGUGUUUUAAUUAAGUUUUUAAGGUAAAAGAAAACGUAAGAUUUUUUUCUCACACUAUUGGAAGAUAUUUUUGCUUGUUUUAAGCACACAUUCACUUAAUGUAUGUGUAUUUUAUUUAUUUUUGUCUAAAACUAGACUUAUUUUCUUGGGUCAUUUUGUUCCUCAAGAACAAGCAUUUUAAUUUAAAUAAUAUUUGUACUGAAAACAAGACAAAAAUACUAUGUAGGAGUCAUUUUUUGCAGUGUAGGACUGAUUUCUUAAGAGCAAGAUCAAUAUAGUUGUUGUUCAUUUUAUUUAGAUAUUUACUACAUUAAAGUGGCAGCUGGUGACUUCUUUUUUUUUGUGAGCACUCGAUGCGAAGUUUGUCACAACAUGUAUAUAGCCCGUCAUUUGUGUGUUCCCAAUUUCAAAAUAUGUGUUCUGCGUGUAUGUGCAUCACCUGUUUUGACUAAACACAUCACGUGUUUAGUCAAAACACGUGAUGCACAUACACGCAGAACACAUAUUUUGAAAUUGCAACCCUCGGAUGAGCAGUCACGAGCCGCCACUUCUACAUUACAUUGUACUGCUUUGAAUGUAGUUUUCAUUGUUGCUUUUAUUUUGUUUUAUUUUACUCUAAUAUUGCUUUCUCUGUCUGUAUAUUUAUGAGUUUAAAUAGUGUUGUUUAUGUAUGCAACUUUUAAUAUUUGUGUAUUAUAUUAUUUUGUGAUUGUGACAAUUGUGGAUUGUUCAGGUUUUUUUUAAAUAAACGUUUCAAACUCAA